UGCGGAAUCCCAUAGCGUAUUGGUUAGCGCGCUCACCUCAUAAGCGAGAGGACCCGGGUUCGAUUCCCGAGUGGGGCAA
Callorhinchus milii (elephant shark) is the source of this 79-nucleotide non-coding RNA. The record is from the annotation of a RefSeq genome assembly. Lineage: Eukaryota; Metazoa; Chordata; Chondrichthyes; Chimaeriformes; Callorhinchidae.